AGUUACCAGCACGUUAUGGUGGGCACUCUAAGGAGAACUGCCGGUGGACAAACCGGAGGAAGGUGGGGAUGACGUCAAGUCAUCAUGGCCCUUACGGCCUGGGCUACACACGUGCUACAAUGGUCGGUACAAAGGGUUGCCGAAGCCGCGAGGUGGAGCUAAUCCCAUAAAACCGAUCGUAGUCCGGAUCGCAGUCUGCAACUCGACUGCGUGAAGUCGGAAUCGCUAGUAAUCGUGAAUCAGAAUGUCACGGUGAAUACGUUCCCGGGCCUU
This 273-nucleotide ribosomal RNA is filed under the name uncultured Pseudomonadaceae bacterium. RNAcentral describes it as "partial 16S ribosomal RNA". It matches the Rfam family "Bacterial small subunit ribosomal RNA", at positions 1113 to 1382 of the family's 1533-position model. Lineage: Bacteria; Pseudomonadati; Pseudomonadota; Gammaproteobacteria; Pseudomonadales; Pseudomonadaceae. The record is from RNAcentral.